This 1107-nucleotide ribosomal RNA is filed under the name Triticum aestivum (bread wheat). Its description in RNAcentral is "partial small subunit ribosomal RNA". Lineage: Eukaryota; Viridiplantae; Streptophyta; Magnoliopsida; Poales; Poaceae. The record is from RNAcentral.
AUGGUCCUCCAACCAGACAAGUGGUUCAUCAAAAGAGUUGACAAGCUCAGGAGAAACUUCCUUUGGGAGUCGGAGGAUGCAUCGGCUGGUGGCAAAAGCCUGGUAAGCUGGGCACGGAUUUGCUCCCCCAAGAAAUAUGGAGGCCUAGGGGUGAAGAACAUCGACUGUUUCAGCAGGGCGCUCCGGUUGCGCUGGGAGUGGUUUAGAUGGGAUGAUGUUGAUCGGCCUUGGAAGGGUUCCCCCACACCAACUGAUGCUGUGGACAAGCAACUUUUCUCGAGCUGCACCUCAAUCCAAGUGGGAGAUGGACGCCUCACAAUCUUCUGGACGGGUCGAUGGCUGUAUGGGGAAGCACUCUGCACUGUCGCGCCGGAGAUUUUUAAGCUUGCCAGGUUCAAGAGACUUUUAGUCAGGGAGGCGUUUGUAACAGGCCGGUGGAUGCAUGGUAUGCAGAGGAUGAACACCGACGCGCAGAUGACUGAAUUCGUCAAGUUGUGGCACUUGCUUCAAACGGUAAUGCUUGCGGAAUUAAAGGAUCAGAUUGGAUGGUCUAUAACUGCAAGUGCAAAAUACUCGGCCUCCGCUGCCUAUGCAAUUCAGUUCGUGGCCAGAAUUGAACAACCGGGGUUGGAAAAGGUCUGGAAGUGCAGAAUGGAGGGCAAGGUUAAAUUCUACAUAUGGCUGCUAUUACAAAACAGAAACUGGACCGCGGAUCGGCUUUGUUCCAGAGGAUGGCCCCACAAUGAAAAAUGCAAAUUAUGUGACCAAGAAGAGGAAACAGCUAUGCACUUAACUCUGCAGUGUUGUUUCGCCAAGGAGGUGUGGUGUCAAAUUCAGAGAACGCAUAGCACAAUGUGCGCUGCCGCAUCAACUGCCUCCUCAAUUGAAGACUGGUGGACUAGGCUCUGCGCCGCCCCGGGUGGGCGGGGCAGGGUCCAUGAGGGGAUCACUUGGGCGGCAUACACCGCUUGGAACUUGUGGAAGGAGCGGAAUAGGCGGGUGUUUGAGCAAAAGGAACUAACGGCGAUAGGGGUUUCAACACUAAUCAAUGAUGAUGUUUCCCUGUACCAAGCAGCAAAGGAGUCUCCCAUAAUUACAGAGAUGUAG